Long non-coding RNA from Homo sapiens (human), 3302 nucleotides. Lineage: Eukaryota; Metazoa; Chordata; Mammalia; Primates; Hominidae. The record is from Ensembl.
CUUCGUGGUCUUUAUAGCUGUUACUCUUUUGUACUUUGUCUUUUUCUUUUAUUUUCUUUUGAGCGAUUGUGCGAACAUAGCAUAGCACGCACUAUGCCUUCUGUGUUGUAGCUGCCUGGCCAGGGCGACUGGCGGAUAAGGUCUUGUGCGUGGCCUCGAGGCUUAAAAGUAGCAGUGGGGCUUUGUGAAGGACAAAAUGGCGAUGGCGGGCCGUGUAGGUCCCCCUUCCUAUGAUGAGGACCUUUUCACAGACCUGUACUGAGCUCCGUGAGGAUAAAUAACUCUGAGGAGAUGGGCCCUGCAAGCCUCUUGCUUAGCCGUCUGUUCAGAAAAUAGCGUUUUCGAAAUGCCCUGAGUUGACCUAAUGUCUUAUUGGGCUCCUGUCUGCAGGAUUUACGCGCACGUUGGAACCGAAGAGAGCUCUGUUGUUGCAAUGUUCAGCCCACAAGAGCUUACUGGUGAAGGAAUGGGACAAGACCCAUCUUUAUGCAAAGCCAGCGUUACAGUAAUGUUCCAGGUAGGUGUACAUGGUUUAUGCUCUUACAGAGGAGACCUUGUAGAUAACCACUCCAUGAUGAACACAAAAUGACAAGCAUAUGGCUGAACUUUCAAGUGAUGUCAUCUUACUACUGAGAAGUGAGAGAGAGGUCUUAAGGGGUCUUUGAAUGACUAUUUUUAGGUACAUAAAAUGCUUUCCUCUGUUGUCUACAGCAUCUCAUAAUCUAUCCUGGGGAAUUCAGCUGCCUCCCAGGGUGAAUACAGGUAAUUAUCCAAAUUGGUGUAUGUCAUCUUUGUAAAUGUUCAAGAAAACAAGUGGCCGGCGGAACAAUGUUUUUUGGCGCCUUCCAUCUUGUUCCUCUUGAAAUGAUUUUCUGGGGAGGGAGAUCGCAACCCGGUACUACAGUUCUUGUAAGGGUGUGCUGUUACCCUCAUCCAUAUAUCGAUCACGUUACUGUCAGAUGAUUUGAAUUGAUAAGCUGAUGUUCUGUGAGGUACAAAAGUUAAUAGCAUGUUAGAGUUCUGAUGGCAGUUGUUGUUUAUGAAUAAGCUUCAUUCCAUCCUAAUACCUUAAAAUAACUAAUUUGCUUUCCUUUCCAGGUAUUCCUGAUGACAGUCUGCCUCUAUCUUACAGUAAGUUGUUUUUCGAAUUCUAUGGGCCUAUUAUCUAAUAGAUAACUUAGCCAUUUUGAUAUUUGUUACCAAAGCCUGCUUAACCCAUAAAGUUUUCUGGUUCCUCUUGUUCUCUGUAGUGAUGUUUCUAGAUAGAUGCCCACUGAUAUAUGCCCCUUUUUUCUCAGAUAGAUGCCCACUGAUCUGCCCAGGGUCAGACGAAUGCUUGUCAGUUGUAGCUUUCCAGGAUUCUGCUCCAAUGAGGAGGAAACAUCCUGCCUUACCCCUGUUUUAGCCUGGGAACCAGUAAUUGUGAACUCACCAGGGUUAACAUGAAGAGGGCAUGAGAGCUUAUUCCAUAAGGAAUUGUCUGAGACAUUUGGUUACCUUUUCUUAGUUUGUCCAUUAGCAACCGUAACUAAAAUAGUUUUGGCUGUUUGGGAUAAUUAGCUAAUUGAAUGAUUUUUUGAUUCAGGAGCAGCUUGUUGCUAUAUACCAUUGAAAAGCCUUCAGAGCUGAGAGGUUAGUUGAUAUUUUUUGUUCCUUACAGCUUAUGCCACCAAGUAGGCAGUUUCUAUGAUGAAUCAAACUAGCUCACUAUGACCGACAGUGAAAAUACAUGAACACCUGAGAAACUGGAGAACGCAGGGAGUGGGGGGUAACCAUGUCUGAGGAAUCUUUCACCCACAGCUUUGUUUUUCUCUAGGUACUACUAACCAAUAACCUGCUUGGCUCAAAGGGCCAGCACCUUCUCUCUAAAGCCCAAGAGGAGUUUGAGGUAAAUGGCUUUGCAAUAGUUACCAUCAAUGGCUGCUAUAUAAAAUUUUCUGUGAUUUUUGUGUGUGAUAGCACUGUGGUCUGGGUGAAUGUACACAGACAUAACUGGCUUAACCCAAAGUCUUUGAUCUCCUGAACCACCAGUGAUGAAUUGCUGCUCACCAGUGAUGAGUUGAAUACCGCCCCAGUCUGAUCAAUGUGUGACUGAAAGGUAUUUUCUGAGCUGUGAGCCUGCCUUCCAGUGACAUGUUCUAAAAAUUGCAAGUUAUUUGAGGAGGCUUUACAGCCAAUAGGAAGUUCUUGGGCUAAGUAGUGUUUCCUAUAAAAUGUGCCCUGAAACUUCUUUCUGCCAAGCAAUAGAUACAAUUGAGAGAUUGUAAAAUGUGACAUAGAAUGAAAGUCUCUCAAGACUACAUUUUUCUUUCUUGAUUUUGCAGGAAAACUAGGUGUCUGUGUUCACUCCAGGCUGAAGUUACAGGUGAGUAAACCUAAAUGUAAGGUGGACUAUGCUAAAAAUUCCCAAUGAAGAAACUUUCACAUGUCUUACUCUCUGUCCUAGUCCCAGAGCCUGUAAAGGUGAACCCACUGGGACUGGCUGGGGGAGAAGAGGAAGAUUUGUUCCAGAAGGAACUGUCUGAGGGAUGAUAAAGAUUUCUAUACAGAGAAAGGGAGUAAUCAUCACUUGUUGAAAACAUUGGUUUUAUUUUUUCCAGGUCUGAGCAAAUAAGGUGUAUAAAAAAUGGUAGGUAUCUGUUUAAAUAUUUAACUGAUUUUAUAAUAGCAACCUUUUGCUCCUAGGUUACAUAGUGUUAAAUAUUGUGUUCAUUUGUAUUUUCCAAUCCAAUAAGAACUUUUUUUUUUACCUCUGCAGGAAUCUGUCUUGGAGGACAUCAGAAGGUGAAUUUUCCAAGUUCUUGGACAACCUAGCUGUUGAAAAGCUUUCUGGGUUUGGGGGGUAUUUCAGAUGUACCUUAAAGUGUUAGCAGACACAGAUUAAGACACUGGGAGCCAAUGAAACAGCAGUUGAGGGUUUGCUGUGUAUCACAUUUCUGUAUUUUAUCACCCCCUUCCUGCAACAUUAUUUAUCUGGAAUCUACCUGCCCUUUUGUUUUUUAGAUACAAGGGCUUGGUUUUGUUACCCAGGCUGGUUUCAAGGCCAUAGCUUUAAGAGAUCCUCUCACCACAGAUUUCCAAAGUGCUGGGAUUGCAGGUGUGAUUCAUGGCACCCAGACUUUGCUGCCUUUCUUACAUGAUCCAGGCCCAGAACCCAAACUCAGGCACUGUAUAGAUGACCACUUUCGUAAACUACUGACCUAGCUUGUUGCCAAUUGUUGAUUGAACUUCCCAUAACUCCACUUCGUGUCUGUUCCUCUGUAUACAGCCACCUUCUGUUCCCGUCAUGAGCCUUUAGGUCU